GUGGGGAAUUUUGGACAAUGGGCGCAAGCCUGAUCCAGCAAUGCCGCGUGCAGGAAGAAGGCCUUCGGGUUGUAAACUGCUUUUGUACGGAACGAAACGGUCCGGGUUAAUACCCUGGGCUAAUGACGGUACCGUAAGAAUAAGCACCGGCUAACUACGUGCCAGCAGCCGCGGUAAUACGUAGGGUGCAAGCGUUAAUCGGAAUUACUGGGCGUAAAGCGUGCGUAGGCGGUUUUGUAAGACAGGCGUGAAAUCCCCGGGCUCAACCGGGGAAUUGCGCUUGUGACUGCAAGGCUGGAGUGCGGCAGAGGGGGAUGGAAUUCCGCGUGUAGCAGUGAAAUGCGUAGAUAUGCGGAGGAACACCGAUGGCGAAGGCAAUCCCCUGGGCCUGCACUGACGCUCAUGCACGAAAGCGUGGGGAGCAAACAGGAUUAGAAACCCGGGUAGUCC
Molecule: ribosomal RNA, 450 nt
Filed under: uncultured bacterium
Lineage: Bacteria
Description: partial 16S ribosomal RNA
Rfam family: Bacterial small subunit ribosomal RNA
Source: RNAcentral